GACGAACGCUGGCGGCGUGCUUAACACAUGCAAGUCGAACGGAAAGGCCCCCUUGUGGGGUACUCGAGUGGCGAACGGGUGAGUAACACGUGAGUAACCUACCCUUGACUUUGGGAUAACUUCAGGAAACUGGGGCUAAUACCGGAUAGGAGCUCCUGCUGCAUGGUGGGGGUUGGAAAGUUUCGGCGGUUGGGGAUGGACUCGCGGCUUAUCAGCUUGUUGGUGGGGUAGUGGCUCACCAAGGCUUUGACGGGUAGCCGGCCUGAGAGGGUGACCGGCCACAUUGGGACUGAGAUACGGCCCAGACUCCUACGGGAGGCAGCAGUGGGGAAUAUUGCACAAUGGGCGGAAGCCUGAUGCAGCAACGCCGCGUGCGGGAUGACGGCCUUCGGGUUGUAAACCGCUUUCGCCUGUGACGAAGCGUGAGUGACGGUAAUGGGGAAAGAAGCACCGGCUAACUACGU
Molecule: ribosomal RNA, 464 nt
Filed under: uncultured bacterium
Lineage: Bacteria
Description: partial 16S ribosomal RNA
Rfam family: Bacterial small subunit ribosomal RNA
Source: RNAcentral